Long non-coding RNA from Zophobas morio, 423 nucleotides. RefSeq lists it as uncharacterized. NCBI's taxonomy places the organism in Eukaryota, Metazoa, Arthropoda, Insecta, Coleoptera, Tenebrionidae. The record is from RefSeq and is a predicted model, not a curated record. The transcript is spliced from 4 exons.
GAAAAAAUUUUUUUUUAUAAUAUAGCCUUAUUAGAUUUAAAAUUUUGUAAAGAAGAUUUGGUUGGCGCCAUACAAAAACUUUGCUUAAAAAAAACUUGUUUGGAUGAAAUAAAUAGAAGUAGUAUUGAGAAAUUAUUGUGGAGUUACAAGAAGUUUCCUGACCCGGAGCUUAUUUUAGUGUUCGGAUCGUGUUUAAGUUUAGCUGGCUAUCUUCCGUGGCAAACUCGAGUUUCAGAAAUUAAGUACUAUCGCAAAAUCGAAUGGUUUCCUUACUACUAUUUUAAAAGGGCUUUGACAGAGUAUUCCAAGUGUGAGCAACGAUUUGGAAGGUGAUUCUUGCUAAAGCUACAAAGGCAGCUUUUACUUAGGUCUCCGGAUUUCAACAUUAAGACUUUCUUCUAAAGACUUAUGAAUUGACUGGUG